AUUGAACGCUGGCGGCAGGCCUAACACAUGCAAGUCGAACGAGUGGCGGACGGGUUAGUAAUGACUGGGAAAGUGCCCGAUGGAGGGGGAUAACUACUGGAAACGGUAGCUAAUACCGCAUACCAUCGGGUGGGCCGAGAUGGGAUUAGCUAGUAGGGGGGGUAACGGCUCACCUAGGCGACGAGCCCUAGCUGGUCUGAGAGGAUGACCAGCCACACUGGAACUGAGACACGGGCCAGACUCCUACGGGAGGCAGCAGUGGGGAAUAUUGGACAAUGGGCGAAAGCCUGAUGCAGCCAUGCCGCGUGUAUGAAGAAGGCCUUCGGGUUGUAAAGUACUUUCAGCGGGGAGGCGUUACUCGCAGAAGAAGCACCGGCUAACUCCGUGCCAGCAGCCGCGGUAAUUC
This 406-nucleotide ribosomal RNA is filed under the name uncultured bacterium. Its description in RNAcentral is "partial 16S ribosomal RNA". It matches the Rfam family "Bacterial small subunit ribosomal RNA", at positions 29 to 526 of the family's 1533-position model. The record is from RNAcentral.